This 342-nucleotide long non-coding RNA is filed under the name Elaeis guineensis (African oil palm). Its description in RNAcentral is "long non-coding RNA (EGUI_LNC033261)". The record is from RNAcentral. Lineage: Eukaryota; Viridiplantae; Streptophyta; Magnoliopsida; Arecales; Arecaceae.
UUUUUUUUCUCUUCUUCUCUUACUCUUCUUUCCUUAAUUAUGAAGUAAUCAAGGGCAGAAAAUCAGCAAGCAAAAGAAAUGCCCAAACUUCUUUUGGGUGUGAAAGAUGAAAGAUACCCAAGCUCCUUAGGCGAUAGAGCUAGAAGAGAGAAGAGAGGGAGAAGAGAAAGGGGGUGUGGAGAGGUCUUAUAGGAGGCAUGAGCUACUGGAAGUCAGAAGUAAAGAGCCUUAGAGAAGGCCCCUUUAAAUAGACAAAAGGCUUGAAUCCUAUUCAAAAAUAAAUAACCUCUUAAUACAAGUCUUACUUGUAUUAAGAAUCUUUAUUCCCUUAGUUAUUUGACC